CUUCGAGCAGAUCCCAGCAUGAAUCCUGCAGUAUGGUGAUGGCAAAAGUCAGUGCAGGACCACUGGGACUCCUGGAGCUUCUCACAUCUCUGAGAGCACCAGCAGCAGCCAGCUCUCCUCUGCCGUUUGCCAUGAGUGGAAGCAGCCUGAGGCCUCACCUGAUGCAGAUGCCACUGCCAUGCUUCUAGUAGAGCCCACAGAACCAUGAGCCAAACAAACCUUUCUUCUUAUUGUUUUUCUUCCCAACUUUUGUUUUAGUUGGGAAAUAAAGGCCCAGUGGAGUGUUUUCUCCACUGUGUUGUGACAGUGGGCCAUGAACUUGCCUCAUCUUCCUAAUAGUUAUCUACUACUUAAUGUCCGAAGAAACAUAUGUAUUGGCUUGACUAAUGUUACAUUUAUGUUGUUAAGAAACAUGUACUCAGGGGCUACAUGUGCAGGUUUGCUACAUGGGUAAAUUUCAUACCAUAGGAGUUUGGUGUACAGAUUAUUUUGUCAUCCAGGAAAUAAGCAUAGCAUCUAUAGAUAGCAGAUGACUGGUAGGAAGAUGAGGCAAGUUUGCGGUCCAUUGUCAUGGAUAGUGGAGACAACACUGGGCCAGAAGUGGUAAGACCUGAAUCCAAGACUCAGCUCUGCCACUUGCUAAAUGGGACUUUGAAUAAACCAUUUCUCUGCACUUAAGUUCCUUACCAACAAAACGAGGGAAGUGGCCUACAUGCCUAGAUAUCAACAUUUCAUGUCACGUAGAGAUCUAGCAUCACAAGAAUCCAAGUCAUCCUCUGUUGCCUUUAAGAAAUUAGAAUUAAAGGAAUCAGAAUUGAAGUGAAUCUGACUACACUAAGCCUAUCACUUGUGACAGCCAUGGGAAGAUAUCAUUGGUUGCUGAGGAGCAGAAAUAAGCAGAGACCUAUUGUGUUAGGUUAUCAUUCAUUUCAGACAAAAAGCAGAUCAGCAAGUUUUCAUAUUGCACUAUUUUCAAUGGCUGGAGCAUCAACAUUUUACAACAAGAAAAAAAUUAAAAUUCUUCAACAUUUGGAAAAGAAGUGUUUGUAAAACUUUUCACAUCCAUUCACCAUCCGGAAAAGCAAGGUUUUACAGUGAGGCCUGAUGAUGUCUAGAGUCACCAUGCAUCUUGGAAAAUGACCUCCUAUUUAUUUCUUCUACAGGACACCAUGGUGUUCACCUUUCUACAACUUUACACUUGCUGAGGACAUAUUGUGGAAAAUUAAGAGAAAUAUAUAUGGAUGGCCAAGGCUGUA
Homo sapiens (human) is the source of this 1256-nucleotide long non-coding RNA. Ensembl annotates it as long intergenic non-protein coding RNA 2207. NCBI's taxonomy places the organism in Eukaryota, Metazoa, Chordata, Mammalia, Primates, Hominidae. The record is from Ensembl.